Molecule: ribosomal RNA, 500 nt
Filed under: uncultured bacterium
Lineage: Bacteria
Description: bacterial SSU rRNA
Rfam family: Bacterial small subunit ribosomal RNA
Source: RNAcentral
AGUUUGAUCCUGGCUCAGAUUGAACGCUGGCGGCAUGCUUUACACAUGCAAGUCGAACGGGGUUAAGGGGCUUGCUCCUUAAUCUAGUGGCGAACGGGUGAGUAAUGCAUCGGAACGUACCCGGGAGUGGGGGAUAACGCACCGAAAGGUGUGCUAAUACCGCAUAUUCUGUGAGCAGGAAAGCAGGGGACCUUAGGGCCUUGUGCUUCCGGAGCGGCCGAUGUCGGAUUAGCUAGUUGGUGAGGUAAAGGCUCACCAAGGCGACGAUCCGUAGCGGGUCUGAGAGGAUGAUCCGCCACACUGGGACUGAGACACGGCCCAGACUCCUACGGGAGGCAGCAGUGGGGAAUUUUGGACAAUGGGCGCAAGCCUGAUCCAGCCAUGCCGCGUGUCUGAAGAAGGCCUUCGGGUUGUAAAGGACUUUUGUCAGGAAGGAAAACCUAUUGGCUAAUAUCCAGUGGGGAUGACAGUACCUGAAGAAUAAGCACCGGCUAACUACG